RNAcentral lists this ribosomal RNA (253 nucleotides) under uncultured bacterium. RNAcentral describes it as "partial 16S ribosomal RNA". It matches the Rfam family "Bacterial small subunit ribosomal RNA", at positions 524 to 776 of the family's 1533-position model. The record is from RNAcentral.
UACAGAGACGUCGAGCGUUGUUCGGAUUCAUUGGGCGUAAAGGGUGCGUAGGCGGUGAGGUAAGUCGGAUGUGAAAUCCCAAGGCUUAACCUUGGAAGUGCAUCCGAAACUGCCUCGCUUGAGGACUGGAAGGGAGACUGGAAUUCUCGGAGUAGCGGUGAAAUGCGUAGAUAUCGAGAGGAACACCUGUGGCGAAGGCGGGUCUCUGGACAGUUCCUGACGCUGAGGCACGAAAGCCAGGGGAGCAAACGGG